ACACCUAGUUCCCUAAAGCCAUCUGGUUUGGGAGUCAUUGGUCCAACGCUCGCUUUACAUGGGUAACUCUGAAAAGCCUAAGAAAAUGAGACAUUGCACAAGUCAAGAAUUAAAAAAAAAAUGGAGAAAAGGAAGGAAAAAGAAAAAAAAGCAAACAAAAAUGAGCUUGCUUGAUUUUCAUGGUAAAAAUCCCUACUAAGAGUUACAUCACAUACACAUGCAUGCAUCACAUGAAAUUGAUUUAAUGAAGGAUGGUGUCUAAAAUGAAGAUAGAGUAUUUUUGAUAAGGUGAAAGUGUGAUUUUGAAUUUAAUCUUGCUUAGGUAUAAUGCCCAUAGAUAUUUAGAAGCUUUCUUUCAAUGUCAUAAUUUGUUGAUUCCAAAAAUAUUUUUUGAAUUUUGUGGGUAUAUUUACUGCAAACCCUCACAAGACACAACUCGUCCACUUGGGGUAACCUUGGGGUUUAAAGGCUUGUUGCACAUGCUAAGUGCAAUCGUGUUUCCUACGAAAAUGGGGUAGUGUAAUUUUUGUUUAAUUUAUUUUUAUUUUUAUUUAUUUUACUCGAGGACGAG
RNAcentral lists this long non-coding RNA (571 nucleotides) under Panax ginseng (ginseng). RNAcentral's name for it is "long non-coding RNA (PGIN_LNC004856)". Lineage: Eukaryota; Viridiplantae; Streptophyta; Magnoliopsida; Apiales; Araliaceae. The record is from RNAcentral.